RNAcentral lists this transfer RNA (75 nucleotides) under Bacteroidota bacterium. RNAcentral's name for it is "Bacteroidetes bacterium tRNA-Met". It matches the Rfam family "tRNA". Rfam says of the family: Transfer RNA (tRNA) molecules are approximately 80 nucleotides in length. Their secondary structure includes four short double-helical elements and three loops (D, anti-codon, and T loops). Further hydrogen bonds mediate the characteristic L-shaped molecular structure. tRNAs have two regions of fundamental functional importance: the anti-codon, which is responsible for specific mRNA codon recognition, and the 3' end, to which the tRNAs corresponding amino acid is attached (by aminoacyl-tRNA synthetases). tRNAs cope with the degeneracy of the genetic code in two manners: having more than one tRNA (with a specific anti-codon) for a particular amino acid; and 'wobble' base-pairing, i.e. permitting non-standard base-pairing at the 3rd anti-codon position. Lineage: Bacteria; Pseudomonadati; Bacteroidota. The record is from RNAcentral.
UGCGGGGUGGAGCAGUGGUAGCUCGUCGGGCUCAUAACCCGAAGGUCGCAGGUUCGAAUCCUGUCCCCGCUACUA